CCGGGUCCAGGCAGCACAUCACACUCACCUGGUCUGGCUGCAUGCAGCUCCCUCCUCUAUCUGAUCCAAUAGAUGUCCCUCCCCAUCCAGUCCAGGCUGGUUCCUUCCAAGGUUUCAAGUGUUCUUGGCUGUAGGGCUCCUUCCCUGCCCACAGAGGGCCUGGAGGCCCUUAAGGACACCAGACAGGACUUUUCAGUAUCUUACCGAGACCAGCUGAUUUAUUCUAUGAUCCCAGCUGACUUUGUGAGGAUGAAGAAGAUGGACAGUAGAUAAGCAAGCCCUUCCUGUGCAUGGCUCCACCUCCCUUGUUCAUUUUCUCUGACCAAAGCUGCUUUCAUGUAUAUACUGUGGUAUCCUUAUUUUUAAUAUAUAAGUUUUGUAUAAAGUGAGAAGGUUCAGCCCCUGUAUUUAAAGCCUCUGACUGCCUUUAAAGCAUGGUCCCCUGUGGCCUGUGAUUCUCCCCACCCCCAAGUCUGGCUGUGCUGUGGUAUUUAAGUAUUUUGCCUAAUUACACAGGAGAUACAUGAAUGCCCAAGGCUGUGGGCAUCUGCCCUCCAUCCUGCAAACACAGGUGUGCCUGUGUGCUCCAUCCUUCCUGUCCAUUGAGCUGGCAUAUUAAAAUAAUCAAAUAAA
This 633-nucleotide long non-coding RNA is filed under the name Mus musculus (house mouse). RNAcentral's name for it is "predicted gene, 49769". Lineage: Eukaryota; Metazoa; Chordata; Mammalia; Rodentia; Muridae. The record is from RNAcentral.